UACGUAGGGUGCAAGCGUUAAUCGGAAUUACUGGGCGUAAAGCGUGCGUAGGCGGUUCGUUAAGUUCGUUGUGAAAGCCCCGGGCUCAACCUGGGAAUGGCAAUGGAAACUGGCGGGCUGGAGUAUGGCAGAGGGGGGGUGGAAUUCCGCGUGUAGCAGUGAAAUGCGUAGAGAUGCGGAGGAACACCGAUGGCGAAGGCAGCCCCCCUGGGCCAAUACUGACGCUCAGGCACGAAAGCGUGGGGAGCAAACAGG
Molecule: ribosomal RNA, 255 nt
Filed under: uncultured bacterium
Lineage: Bacteria
Description: partial 16S ribosomal RNA
Rfam family: Bacterial small subunit ribosomal RNA
Source: RNAcentral